UACAGAGGGUGCGAGCGUUGUCCGGAAUCACUGGGCGUAAAGAGCGUGUAGGCGGCCAAGCAGGUCCGUUGUGAAAACUGGAGGCUUAACCUCCAGACGUCGACGGAAACCGCGCGGCUAGAGUCCGGAAGAGGAGAGUGGAAUUCCUGGUGUAGCGGUGAAAUGCGCAGAUAUCAGGAAGAACACCAAUGGCGAAGGCAGCUCUCUGGGACGGUACUGACGCUGAGACGCGAAAGCGUGGGGAGCGAACAGG
Molecule: ribosomal RNA, 253 nt
Filed under: uncultured bacterium
Lineage: Bacteria
Description: partial 16S ribosomal RNA
Rfam family: Bacterial small subunit ribosomal RNA
Source: RNAcentral